This 253-nucleotide ribosomal RNA is filed under the name uncultured bacterium. Its description in RNAcentral is "partial 16S ribosomal RNA". It matches the Rfam family "Bacterial small subunit ribosomal RNA", at positions 524 to 776 of the family's 1533-position model. The record is from RNAcentral.
UACGUAGGGUGCAAGCGUUAAUCGGAAUUACUGGGCGUAAAGCGUGCGCAGGCGGCUUUGCAAGACAGAUGUGAAAUCCCCGGGCUCAACCUGGGAACUGCAUUUGUGACUGCAAGGCUAGAGUACGGUAGAGGGGGAUGGAAUUCCGCGUGUAGCAGUGAAAUGCGUAGAUAUGCGGAGGAACACCGAUGGCGAAGGCGGUGGUCUGGGCCGGCACUGACGCUGAGGAGCGAAAGCGUGGGGAGCGAACAGG